This 501-nucleotide ribosomal RNA is filed under the name Cryptosporidium hominis. RNAcentral describes it as "partial small subunit ribosomal RNA". It matches the Rfam family "Eukaryotic small subunit ribosomal RNA", at positions 457 to 983 of the family's 1831-position model. Lineage: Eukaryota; Apicomplexa; Conoidasida; Eucoccidiorida; Cryptosporidiidae. The record is from RNAcentral.
CAGGGAGGUAGUGACAAGAAAUAACAAUACAGGACUUUUUGGUUUUGUAAUUGGAAUGAGUUAAGUAUAAACCCCUUUACAAGUAUCAAUUGGAGGGCAAGUCUGGUGCCAGCAGCCGCGGUAAUUCCAGCUCCAAUAGCGUAUAUUAAAGUUGUUGCAGUUAAAAAGCUCGUAGUUGGAUUUCUGUUAAUAAUUUAUAUAAAAUAUUUUGAUGAAUAUUUAUAUAAUAUUAACAUAAUUCAUAUUACUAUUUUUUUUUUUAGUAUAUGAAAUUUUACUUUGAGAAAAUUAGAGUGCUUAAAGCAGGCAUAUGCCUUGAAUACUCCAGCAUGGAAUAAUAUUAAAGAUUUUUAUCUUUUUUAUUGGUUCUAAGAUAAGAAUAAUGAUUAAUAGGGACAGUUGGGGGCAUUUGUAUUUAACAGUCAGAGGUGAAAUUCUUAGAUUUGUUAAAGACAAACUAAUGCGAAAGCAUUUGCCAAGGAUGUUUUCAUUAAUCAAGAA